RNAcentral lists this small nuclear RNA (164 nucleotides) under Dendronephthya gigantea. RNAcentral describes it as "U1 spliceosomal RNA". It matches the Rfam family "U1 spliceosomal RNA". Rfam says of the family: U1 is a small nuclear RNA (snRNA) component of the spliceosome (involved in pre-mRNA splicing). Its 5' end forms complementary base pairs with the 5' splice junction, thus defining the 5' donor site of an intron. Lineage: Eukaryota; Metazoa; Cnidaria; Anthozoa; Malacalcyonacea; Nephtheidae. The record is from RNAcentral.
AAACUUACCUGACGCGAGAGGCACCUUGAUCAACUAGGAGGUCCUCUCAGGAUGAGGCCCUUUCAUUGCACUUCGACUGGGUUGACUCCUGCGAUUAUCCCUAAUGUGGGUAACUCGAGCGUAUAAUUUCUGGUAGUGGGGACCUGCGUUCGCGCUCGUCCCCU